GACGAACGCUGGCGGCGUGCUUAACACAUGCAAGUCGAACGGAAAGGCCCUGCUCUUGUUGGGUUCUCGUGUGGCGCACGGGGGAGUAACACGUGAGUAACCUGCCCUUGACUUUGGGAUAACUUCAGGAAACUGCGGCUAAUACCGCAUAUGAGCUCUUGCUGCAUGUUGUGCAUUAGUGAGAUUCGGCGGUUGGGGCUGGACUCGCGGCUUAUCAGCUUGUUGGUGGGGUAGUUGCUUACCAAGGCUUUGACGGCUAGCCGGCCUGGGAGGGUGACCGGCCACAUGGGGACUGAGAUACGGCCCAGACUGCUACGGGAGGCAGCAGUGGGGAAUAUGGCACAAUGGGCGGAAGCCUGAUGCAGCAACGCCGCGUGCGGGAUGACGGCCUUCGGGUUGUAAACCGCUUUCGCCGGUGACGAAGCGUGAGUGACGGUAAUGGGUAAAGAAGCACCGGCUAACUACGUG
This 468-nucleotide ribosomal RNA is filed under the name uncultured bacterium. Its description in RNAcentral is "partial 16S ribosomal RNA". It matches the Rfam family "Bacterial small subunit ribosomal RNA", at positions 28 to 507 of the family's 1533-position model. The record is from RNAcentral.